GACGAACGCUGGCGGCGUGCCUAAUACAUGCAAGUUGAGCGCUGAAGGUUGGUACUUGUACCCACUGGAUGAGCAGCGAACGGGUGAGUAACGCGUGGGGAAUCUGCCUUUGAGCGGGGGACAACAUUUGGAAACGAAUGCUAAUACCGCAUAAAAACUUUAAACACAAGUUUUAAGUUUGAAAGAUGCAAUUGCAUCACUCAAAGAUGAUCCCGCGUUGUAUUAGCUAGUUGGUGAGGUAAAGGCUCACCAAGGCGAUGAUACAUAGCCGACCUGAGAGGGUGAUCGGCCACAUUGGGACUGAGACACGGCCCAAACUCCUACGGGAGGCAGCAGUAGGGAAUCUUCGGCAAUGGACGAAAGUCUGACCGAGCAACGCCGCGUGAGUGAAGAAGGUUUUCGGAUCGUAAAACUCUGUUGGUGGAGAAGAACGUUGGUGAGAGUGGAAAGCUCAUCAAGUGACGGUAACUACCCAGAAAGGGACGGCUAACUACGUG
RNAcentral lists this ribosomal RNA (497 nucleotides) under uncultured bacterium. Its description in RNAcentral is "partial 16S ribosomal RNA". It matches the Rfam family "Bacterial small subunit ribosomal RNA", at positions 28 to 507 of the family's 1533-position model. The record is from RNAcentral.